GUCAAACCGGGUCUGCCGGAGUGUUCCACAAGGUGGGAGCACUGUGAUGCUGUUAAUUUUUUGUUCAUUUGAUACACUGCAUAAUUUGGUAUUCGAACUCACCGAACACCUGAGACCUAUUUCGUAUACUGAACAGCCAGACCACCCACGGCAGGCGUGCACUGCUCUUCGACCCUUUUUACCUUUGUUUGCACCUUAGUAACCACAAUUAUCAUAACAUUCUGAGCGGUCAGCUGGGUGGCCGCAUGUCGUAU
Pelobates cultripes (western spadefoot toad) is the source of this 254-nucleotide non-coding RNA. The record is from the annotation of a GenBank genome assembly. NCBI's taxonomy places the organism in Eukaryota, Metazoa, Chordata, Amphibia, Anura, Pelobatidae.